Molecule: unclassified non-coding RNA, 889 nt
Filed under: Leishmania donovani
Lineage: Eukaryota; Euglenozoa; Kinetoplastea; Trypanosomatida; Trypanosomatidae
Source: RNAcentral
AACCAGUGCAUGCAAGCCCUUGUGCUGCCCUGGUGCCGAAACUGCGCAAGAGCCGUGCUGCUGCCGGUGAUGGGUGGCGGUGCUUUACGCUGCUGUGCAUGUACGUGCGCGCGGUGUGUCAGCGCACGCACCAGCCGCGCGCAGUUGAUGUUGGUUGCGCAUGCGGCCUUGUCGUGACGCGAGAGACGCCAGCGCCGCUGUGGCGUGGCGCGUGUGUCUGUGUGUGCUGCGACCAGCGUGCUCCGUGGGUGAGGCCGCGGACUCUACUACCCUUGGUGCCGUACACUGCGCCUCAAUCGGGCUCGCGAGAGCUGCUGCUGUGUGUGCGCUGACCGCUGCAUGAUGCGAAAAUCGAGGCAUUUGUAUGAACCCGCAACUGUGAUUUGAACUCCGUGUACUCAAAGCUACCAACAUACUAUACACGGGACUGAGCGCUGGACGGUCUUCUGCUGCUGGCUGUGGCUGUGGCUGUGUGUGUGUGGUCUGUGUGGUCUGUGUGGUCUGUGUGGCGCGCGCAUGCGUGAUGGCAUUGCGAUUUAAUUAUACACCCGAGGCGCGCACAGCGCCGCGGACGAGAACCGGAGUGACUGACUGUGCGCGCUGCUGCCGCUGCUGCAGGUGCGCGUGCGCUGCGCCAGUCCACCUUCCUCCCAGCCGCACGUGGUGUCGGCUGCGGCUGCCCACUGCUGUGUGCGUGCGCGUGGCUUGAAGGGUGGCCGAGAUGCGAGCGCGCGUGUGUGCGUGUGGAUGGGAACCAGGAGUAGCACCGUUGCGGAACACGACCCAUUGAUCUAUCGGCGGACUUGCUCUUGGGAGACGUGCGGUGCUGUGCCCGCCGCGCAUUCAAGGUCCCUUGGCGGCGAUUAUAUACCCUCGAUGCUGCUUCACA